Nilaparvata lugens (brown planthopper) is the source of this 110-nucleotide small nuclear RNA. Lineage: Eukaryota; Metazoa; Arthropoda; Insecta; Hemiptera; Delphacidae. The record is from RefSeq and is a predicted model, not a curated record.
GUGUAGUAUGAAAGGAGAGACGGUUAGCACUCCCCUAGACAAGGAUGGAAACACAUAUACCGGUUAAGGCACAUUCUGGGCUUGCCCAGAAAUCUUAACCACCAUUUUUU